RNAcentral lists this ribosomal RNA (254 nucleotides) under uncultured bacterium. Its description in RNAcentral is "partial 16S ribosomal RNA". It matches the Rfam family "Bacterial small subunit ribosomal RNA", at positions 524 to 776 of the family's 1533-position model. The record is from RNAcentral.
UACGAAGGGGGCUAGCGUUGUUCGGAAUCACUGGGCGUAAAGCGCACGUAGGCGGAUUGUUAAGUCAGGGGUGAAAUGCCAAGGCUCAACCUUGGAACUGCCUUUGAUACUGGCAAUCUCGAGUCCGGGAGAGGUGAGUGGAACUGCGAGUGUAGAGGUGAAAUUCGUAGAUAUUCGCAAGAACACCAGUGGCGAAGGCGGCUCACUGGCCCGGUACUGACGCUGAGACGGCGAAAGCGUGGGGAGCAAACAGG